AGCGUAGACGGUGUGGCAAGUCUGAAGUGAAAGCCCGGGGCUCAACCCCGGGACUGCUUUGGAAACUGUCAGACUAGAGUGCAGGAGAGGUAAGCGGAAUUCCUAGUGUAGCGGUGAAAUGCGUAGAUAUUAGGAGGAACACCAGUGGCGAAGGCGGCUUACUGGACUGUAACUGACGUUGAGGCUCGAAAGCGUGGGGAGCAAACAG
RNAcentral lists this ribosomal RNA (208 nucleotides) under uncultured Lachnospiraceae bacterium. RNAcentral describes it as "partial 16S ribosomal RNA". It matches the Rfam family "Bacterial small subunit ribosomal RNA", at positions 568 to 775 of the family's 1533-position model. The record is from RNAcentral. Lineage: Bacteria; Bacillati; Bacillota; Clostridia; Lachnospirales; Lachnospiraceae.